This 492-nucleotide ribosomal RNA is filed under the name uncultured bacterium. RNAcentral's name for it is "partial 16S ribosomal RNA". It matches the Rfam family "Bacterial small subunit ribosomal RNA", at positions 29 to 507 of the family's 1533-position model. The record is from RNAcentral.
AGUGAACGCUGGCGGUAGGCCUAACACAUGCAAGUCGAACGGCAGCACAGUAAGAGCUUGCUCUUACGGGUGGCGAGUGGCGGACGGGUGAGGAAUACAUCGGAAUCUACUUUUUCGUGGGGGAUAACGUAGGGAAACUUACGCUAAUACCGCAUACGACCUACGGGUGAAAGCAGUGGAUCUUCGGACCUUGCGCGAUUGAAUGAGCCGAUGUCGGAUUAGCUAGUUGGCGGGGUAAAGGCCCACCAAGGCGACGAUCCGUAGCUGGUCUGAGAGGAUGGUCGGCCACACUGGAACUGAGACACGGUCCAGGCUCCUACGGGAGGCAGCAGUGGGGAAUAUUGGACAAUGGGCGCAAGCCUGAUCCAGCCAUACCGCGUGGGUGAAGAAGGCCUUCGGGUUGUAAAGCCCUUUUGUUGGGAAAGAAAAGCAGCAGGUUAAUACCCCGCUGUUCUGACGGUACCCAAAGAAUAAGCACCGGCUAACUUCGUG